Molecule: small RNA, 85 nt
Organism: Arenibacter nanhaiticus
Lineage: Bacteria; Pseudomonadati; Bacteroidota; Flavobacteriia; Flavobacteriales; Flavobacteriaceae
Rfam family: Flavo-1 RNA
Source: Rfam
UGAUUUCCGCGUUAGGGAUUGCAGCGGCAUCCUUUUUUAGCGGCUGGGCCGACUAAAAAAGAUACAGCGGAAAGCCCGCCCCGCC